GAUGAACGCUAGCUACAGGCUUAACACAUGCAAGUCGAGGGGAAACGGCAUCGAAAGCUUGCUUUUGAUGGGCGUCGACCGGCGCACGGGUGAGUAACGCGUAUCCAACCUGCCCAUCACUUGGGAAUAACCUUGCGAAAGUAAGACUAAUGCCCAAUGACAUCCCACGAAGGCAUCCGAAUGGGAUUAAAGAUUUAUCGGUGAUGGAUGGGGAUGCGUCUGAUUAGCUUGUUGGCGGGGUGACGGCCCACCAAGGCAACGAUCAGUAGGGGUUCUGAGAGGAAGGGCCCCCACAUUGGAACCGAGACACGGUCCAAAAUCCUACGGGAGGCAGCAGUGAGGAAUAUUGGUCAAUGGGCGAGAGCCUGAAACAGCCAAGUAGCGUGCAGGAUGACCGCCCUAUGGGUUGUAAACUGCUUUUAUAAGGGAAUAAAGUGGGUCACGUGUGACUUUUUGCAUGUACCUUAUGAAUAAGGACCGGCUAAUUCCGUG
Molecule: ribosomal RNA, 492 nt
Filed under: uncultured bacterium
Lineage: Bacteria
Description: partial 16S ribosomal RNA
Rfam family: Bacterial small subunit ribosomal RNA
Source: RNAcentral